Scatophagus argus is the source of this 1717-nucleotide RNA transcript. RefSeq lists it as uncharacterized. The record is from RefSeq and is a predicted model, not a curated record. Lineage: Eukaryota; Metazoa; Chordata; Actinopteri; Scatophagidae. The transcript has 7 exons.
AUCAGCUCGCCGCCUGCAGCAAACCACGCCCGCGCGGCAACUCGUGUUGCGCGCCUCGUCAGUAUUGUAGUGGAAGUGGAGCAUACGCAAAGUGUUUGUCCUUAACCUGGGCAUUGGUGGAUUUAACAAGUGUGUGUAACGUUUUAGUAGUAGUUUGUUGAAUGUAAGCAAGUUUAUCUUCGCACGGGGUACAGGCGAGGUCGAAAACUACACCGACGCGUUUGGAGGAGCUGCUGACUGCCGAGUUCACCAACUGUAGAUAAUUACUACCGUGGAAAAGUUAUUGUUGGGCACCCAGUGGGGUUUAAAGUUUAGCUAACAGUGGCGUCUCUGCCUACUAGCAGGUAGUUAGCGCCGUAUUUAAACCGCUUAGUUUGGUAACAAUGGCAGCUGUGUGCCAGUCACGACGGGCCUUGGUGGAAAUACCUGCUCCACAACCAAAAAUUGCCGCUCGAAUGAGGAGGUCCUACCUAGAAAUUCUAAGUGCUCGUUUGGCUCCAUCUCCGCUUCCAAGGGGGAGAAAUACAACAACAAACGCAAAGCGUGUGCACUCAUCAGACAUGUCCAUAGCUGGGGUGUGGAGUCGAGGCAUUGAGGAGCAGUGUGAGAAGAUGGAUGACCAUCAAACUCCUCUCUCCAAACAGCAGCUUGUACAGCUAAUCAGAUCCCUGAUCUUAGUUGAACAGAACCAAGAGCCCAAGAUCCUGGCAUCAGACCUGAAGUAUCUCCAGGAAGACCUGCAACUAAAGAAAGCAAAUGUUUAUAGGUCCAUACCCUACUCACGGUUUGGCUCCAACAGGGAUGCUCACUGCUACAGAAAGGCAUAUCCUCACCUUGUGGCAUUCAAAGUUUCUUGUCAAGAGUGGGGCCAAGUUCUUCUGAGGAACAAAAAGUGGGACGCAGUGUUGGAGCACACGUUGAUGGCGUGGCGCUACACCAGCGAGUUGCCUCAGUGGGACACAGCAAACCACAACGCUCUCCAAGAACAGUGUUACAGCAUUUUGGCAGCCCACAGCCUCACCGCUCUCCAACACUACCACCCUGAACCCAACAGAGGACGUGAGCUGCUCCGAAGCUGAAGCAGUUCAACAUGGGCAUCCUACUGGAGUCCUGUCUUGUCACCUGCUGAAUGCUGAAGAUGGUUCAAUUGUACAGCCAGUCAGUUGUGCCCUGUGUUCAGGAGUUGGAGAGGAUUAUGGGAUGUGCCGAUGACUCCAGCAUGGACACAAAAUAACACAAACACCAUACAAUCCAGUCUCUACACCCCAGUGGAAAUUUGCUUCAUAGGUGAUCUAAAUUAUAUCUGUGUGGUACCAGGCCAAAAAACAUUUGACGUGGUUUGUUUGGAAAAACUUCUCCAUUAUUCUUCCAAAGGGGAGGGGCAGCAACUGAAAACACAAUGCAUUUAUUUUUUUUUAGGACAUUGUAGAGAGUAACAUUUGCAUUGACCAGUGAAAUGUUAAAAGUAUGAAAUGGCCUCUUGUUGCUUUAUAAGACGUGUGUGUAUAUGUAUAUAAAUAAUAUGUCCUUGUUAAUGUUCACAAUACUUGAAACUGUGGCUUUUGUCUUGUUUUCUAUGUGUCUUGUUUAUGGAGAAGUGUCCUUGUCACUGAUUGCACUGUUGCAGUUUGUCCUGAAAACUUGAAGAUUUUUGAUAAAAUAGACUCAUAUUUUCAAUAAAUUUUGUUACUUUGUACCAGCAAAGGACUUAAUAAUC